UGCCUGUGGGUGUUACAUAUUUUUCCCUCUUCAACUAACCGUGUCUGAGCAGGACAGCUGACCUUCAAAGUAAAUAUGAUUAAAGCUGAACAAAUCAGAGACUGGGUUUUGCUCUACUAUCUAGACUGGAGUGCAGUGGCCUGAUUAUAGCUCACUGCAGCCUCCAACUCCUGGACCCAAGUGAUCCUCCCAUAUCAGCCUCCCAAGGAGCUACAACUACAGUCUACACAGUUCCAAUAGGAGACAGACAACCAGGAUUUUGGGCCAAGAUCUAAUUUUUUGAUUGGAUUAACCCGAGAAAAUCAAAAUAUUUUUCUGUGAUGAGAGAUCUCAUUGCUAACAUACAGGACCUUAAAUAGUAUAUAAUUGAGGCGCAUCCUUUUACAGAUGCUGAAUGGAAGGAGAAAAAGUGAAAGCAACCUACAAACAUAAGCCUCUCAUAGUGGAAACUUAUUUUUAUGGGAUGUGGAUGUUGUUUUUUAAUAGGGAUUCAAGCUUCAGAUACAUGACCAAAAAUCGUUUUAAGUAAAAACAAAAAGAAAAGUGUUUUUCCAUCUCUGCACUACACAUUGGAUUUCUACACAGAAGCUGUACUUGAAGGAUCAAAGCUCAUUCCUGCAUUCCUGCAAGCAAGCAAUUUCUACAAGUGCAUCUACAGCUCCAUGACAAUCCACUUCCUCAAUGCUUCCCAUCGUCCACUGAAGUAUUAGCAUGUGAAAAAUUGCAUAUGUCAGAAAUGUAAAAAUAAUCAUGCCCACCUUGGUCUUUUCUAUUUAAUAAUUUGGGCCAUGGAUUGGUAACCUUUGUUUUGCUUACUGUGCAGUCACAAAUUACUUUUAUAGAUCAAGAGAACUUGAACUUUCAAAAGUGCUGUUUUAGCUUAAAAUGUUAUGAUUUAGAUAUUCUGUUUAUAUAAGAAGAAACUAGUGACAAAUAUAGUAAGCAUUUUUUUUUCAUUCUUCACUUAAAUGGUUGCCUUAACAUAGGGUUUUUCCUUUUAAAAUAGUAGAAAACUUACAGAAGACUGUUUAACUACCUAUGUAGGUCCCAUACAGUUAAUUAGCCAUAGAAAAAAUAAUCCAGGACUUCCAAAGUAAUGCCAAUGGUCUAUAAUCUCAUCACAUUACAAUGCGAAUCACUUAAUGUACAUGGAUUUUAGGAGACUCAUUUGGGAUCUUUAAAUCCUAAUCAGCUCUUUAUUAGGAUAUUUGGGAAGUUAAAUAAUCAGGCUGUUUUCCACUAAACUAGACGAGGCUAGUGUGUUUUCAAAUAUCAAUUAAAAGGUGACAUGAGAUAAGCCUUUUAGAUUACUGUUGUUUUUCCUGGUUAUUGGCCUAAAAGAAAUAGAAAGUUUAUGUCAAUGUCGAAAGAAUACCUACCAGUUAAACUAUUAUUCAUACCUACAGUGUGUUCAUUAUUUAACAAUUUCCAAUAUAACUUAGUCUUUUGACUUAGCUUUUUUUAGUUUAGGAGGCCUUAAUAUUUGAUAACUGGUUCAGUGUCACCAAAUGGUUUCUUUACAUAAAAGUAAUUUUAUAUGAUAGACACAUAAGUCAUCCUUAUAUCCUCUUCACUGUUCCAACUAAAAUGUCUGCAGUAUAAAAAAAUUUACUUGAGAUUUUUUUGCUUUUAUUUUCUUAUCUACUAAAUGGAGUAUAAU
This is a long non-coding RNA of Callithrix jacchus (white-tufted-ear marmoset), 1660 nucleotides long. RefSeq lists it as uncharacterized. Lineage: Eukaryota; Metazoa; Chordata; Mammalia; Primates; Cebidae. The record is from RefSeq and is a predicted model, not a curated record.